RNAcentral lists this ribosomal RNA (497 nucleotides) under uncultured bacterium. RNAcentral describes it as "partial 16S ribosomal RNA". It matches the Rfam family "Bacterial small subunit ribosomal RNA", at positions 28 to 507 of the family's 1533-position model. The record is from RNAcentral.
GACGAACGCUGGCGGCGUGCCUAAUACAUGCAAGUUGAGCGAUGAAGAUUGGUGCUUGCACCAAUUUGAAGAGCAGCGAACGGGUGAGUAACGCGUGGGGAAUCUGCCUUUGAGCGGGGGACAACAUUUGGAAACGAAUGCUAAUACCGCAUAACAACUUUAAACAUAAGUUUUAAGUUUGAAAGAUGCAAUUGCAUCACUCAAAGAUGAUCCCGCGUUGUAUUAGCUAGUUGGUGAGGUAAAGGCUCACCAAGGCGAUGAUACAUAGCCGACCUGAGAGGGUGAUCGGCCACAUUGGGACUGAGACACGGCCCAAACUCCUACGGGAGGCAGCAGUAGGGAAUCUUCGGCAAUGGACGAAAGUCUGACCGAGCAACGCCGCGUGAGUGAAGAAGGUUUUAGGAUCGUAAAACUCUGUUGGUAGAGAAGAACGUUGGUGAGAGUGGAAAGCUCAUCAAGUGACGGUAACUACCCAGAAAGGGACGGCUAACUACGUG